This 491-nucleotide ribosomal RNA is filed under the name uncultured bacterium. Its description in RNAcentral is "bacterial SSU rRNA". It matches the Rfam family "Bacterial small subunit ribosomal RNA", at positions 36 to 560 of the family's 1533-position model. The record is from RNAcentral.
CUGGCGGCGUGCUAACACAUGCAAGUCGAACGAGAAAGUGGAGCAAUCCAUGAGUAAAGUGGCGACCGGGUGAGUAACACGUGACUAACCUACCUCCGAGUGGGGAAUAACUCCGGGAAACCGGGGCUAAUACCGCAUAACAUCGCAAGAUCAAAGCAGCAAUGCGCUUGGAGAGGGGGUCGCGGCUGAUUAGCUCGUUGGCGGGGUAACGGCCCACCAAGGCGAAGAUCGGUAUCCGGCCUGAGAGGGCGCACGGACACACUGGAACUGAAACACGGUCCAGACUCCUACGGGAGGCAGCAGUGGGGAAUUUUGCGCAAUGGGGGAAACCCUGACGCGGCAACGCCGCGUGGAGGAUGAAGCCCUUUGGGGCGUAAACUCCUUUCGACUCGGACGAUAAUGACGGUACGAGUGGAAGAAGCACCGGCUAACUCUGUGCCAGCAGCCGCGGUAAUACAGAGGGUGCGAGCGUUGUUCGGAAUUAUUGGGCG